GCUGCCUGCCUCCGGCGCGCUCAAGGCCCGACCAAGGUUCUGGCUGACCCGCUCCCUUGGAGAUGGGGCCAUGGUGGAACUGCUGCGCUGUCAGCCGGUGGCCGAGAUGCCGCACAGUCGCACUAGAAGAUGCGAGCUCGAUACUCAACAGGCAAAGUGUCAGGAUUUGCCCUCUGAUGCAUAGUGUGUGCAGCAACGUAGGAGUGAUCAUCCUUCACAGAAUUAUAAUGCAAUUCCAAAGGAUUAAUUUGCACGUGUUGGAACAAAAGAAACGGGGCUAUUGAAGAU
This 288-nucleotide ribosomal RNA is filed under the name Triticum aestivum (bread wheat). RNAcentral describes it as "partial small subunit ribosomal RNA". Lineage: Eukaryota; Viridiplantae; Streptophyta; Magnoliopsida; Poales; Poaceae. The record is from RNAcentral.